Molecule: ribosomal RNA, 443 nt
Filed under: uncultured soil bacterium
Lineage: Bacteria
Description: bacterial SSU rRNA
Rfam family: Bacterial small subunit ribosomal RNA
Source: RNAcentral
AGAGCGAACGCUGGCGGCAGGCCUAACACAUGCAAGUCGAACGAUCCUUCGGGAUAGUGGCGGACGGGUGAGUAACACGUGGGAACGUGCCUUUUGGUUCGGAACAACUCAGGGAAACUUGAGCUAAUACCGAAUGUGCCCUUCGGGGGAAAGAUUUAUCGCCAUUAGAGCGGCCCGCGUCUGAUUAGCUAGUUGGUGGGGUAAAGGCUCACCAAGGCUACGAUCAGUAGCUGGUCUGAGAGGAUGAUCAGCCACAUUGGGACUGAGACACGGCCCAAACUCCUACGGGAGGCAGCAGUGGGGAAUCUUGCGCAAUGGGCGAAAGCCUGACGCAGCCAUGCCGCGUGAAUGAUGAAGGUCUUAGGAUUGUAAAAUUCUUUUCACCGGGGACGAUAAUGACGUACCCGGAGAAGAAGCCCCGGCUAACUCGUGCCAGCAGCCGC